ACGCUCGACACCUACGGGAGCAGCAGUGGGGAAUAUUGCACAAUGGGCGAAAGCCUGAUGCAGCAACGCCGCGUGAGCGAAGAAGGCCUUCGGUCGUAAAGCUCUGUCCUCAAGGAAGAUAAUGACGGUACUUGAGGAGGAAGCCCCGGCUAACUACGUGCCAGCAGCCGAGGUAAUCUGAGCGGGCUGGCAAGGC
Molecule: ribosomal RNA, 196 nt
Filed under: uncultured bacterium
Lineage: Bacteria
Description: partial 16S ribosomal RNA
Rfam family: Bacterial small subunit ribosomal RNA
Source: RNAcentral